AUUGAACGCUGGCGGCAGGCCUAACACAUGCAAGUCGAACGGUAACAGGAAACAGCUUGCUGUUUCCCGGACGAGAGGGGGACGUGUUGGUAAGGUAUCUGAAACUGCCUGAGGGAUUGGGAUAACUACUGGGAACGAUAACUAAUACCGCCUAAAGUCGCAAAGCGAGAGAUCUGGGCCUUCUCGCCUCUUGCCCGCGUCUAUGCCCAGAUGGGAUUAGCUAGUGGGUGGGGUAACGGCUCACCUCGGCGACGAUCCCUAGCUGGUCUGAGAGGAUGACCAGCCACACUGGAACUGAGACACGGUCCAGACUCCUACGGGAGGCAGCAGUGGGGAAUAUUGGACAAUGGGCGAAAGCCUGAUCCAGCCAUGCCGCGUGUAUGAAGAAGGCCUUCGGGUUGUAAAGCACUUUCAGUGGGGAGGAAGGGCAGUAAGUUAAUACCUUGCUGUAUUGACGUUACCAACAGAAGAAGCACCGGCUAACUUCGUG
Molecule: ribosomal RNA, 490 nt
Filed under: uncultured bacterium
Lineage: Bacteria
Description: partial 16S ribosomal RNA
Rfam family: Bacterial small subunit ribosomal RNA
Source: RNAcentral